CAGUCGCCGCGGUAAUGCGUAGGUGGCAAGCGUUGUCCGGAAUUAUUGGGCGUAAAGCGCGCGCAGGCGGAUCAGUCAGUCUGUCUUAAAAGUUCGGGGCUUAACCCCGUGAUGGGAUGGAAACUGCUGAUCUAGAGUAUCGGAGAGGAAAGUGGAAUUCCUAGUGUAGCGGUGAAAUGCGUAGAUAUUAGGAAGAACACCAGUGGCGAAGGCGACUUUCUGGACGAAAACUGACGCUGAGGCGCGAAAGCCAGGGGAGCGAACGGGAUUAGAUACCCCAGUAGUCCCUGUCUCUUAUACC
RNAcentral lists this ribosomal RNA (301 nucleotides) under uncultured bacterium. RNAcentral describes it as "partial 16S ribosomal RNA". It matches the Rfam family "Bacterial small subunit ribosomal RNA", at positions 509 to 808 of the family's 1533-position model. The record is from RNAcentral.